This 3090-nucleotide long non-coding RNA is filed under the name Homo sapiens (human). Its description in RNAcentral is "uncharacterized LOC105370259, transcript variant 1 (LOC105370259)". Lineage: Eukaryota; Metazoa; Chordata; Mammalia; Primates; Hominidae. The record is from RNAcentral.
GGGGGGAAGGAAAAAAAAACUGGGGAGAACUAGGCGGCUUUCUGAUCAGAGUUCAGAUAAAAAGGGUCACAGUAAUUUGUGGGCACUGACUAAAAUAACCCAAUGGAUUUGAGAGUUACCGCAAAAGAAGCAAACAGACAAACUAAAGAGGUAUAACUCCUACUUGAAGAGUGUGAGAGAAUAUUUACUACUCGGAUGUUUGAGACAUACCAAAAAAUGCUUUUUGAUCCUUUAUCAAGAAGACGUAAUGACCAAGAUUGAUAAAGAAAAAUGCAAUGGUUACUUUACCUGCAACCAUCUCAAAGACGCUCUAAUGUCAUUUCAGAGGACUUCAGCCAUGAACUUGGUGAUGAGCCAGAGAAGGUAACUUUUCAUCCCCUACAAGACCUAUUCCAUGUUGCAGCUAACCUUAAAGAAAUCAUCACUUGGAACUGAUUCAGAAUCCCAUAUCACAUUUUGUUAUUACUUUUGCCUGGUCUCCUGCUGUCUGGAACAGUUUUUCAGUCUUCCUUCAUUUUCAAGAGUGUGAAAGGAUCCCAAGACCAAAAGUCUGGGAACUGCUGGUUUAGAGUCACAAUACUGACUGCUCAAAAUGACUUUUUAAAGAAGAAAGCCUUAAAAACCCUUGAGUGAAUGGUUGGUAUUUACAGACAAGCAAAUGUAUGGAAGAGAAACGAGAGACCCAGCCUGAAUCUGUUGAAUGAACGAAAGGGGAAAUGCCCUAAGGAGUCAGAUGGAAGAAGUUUUUCUGGGAAGAGCAGAACACAGGAGUUGGGGUGCAGACCUCCUGGAUCACCAGCAGAAGGAAAAGAGCAGUGAGACGUUAAAGUGAUUGAGACAAAAAUGGAAGUAAAACAGCUUAAGGCUUUCUGAGAUCGAGUUCCUGGCAGUGUCAUCAGCAGAUGGUUUCUUCUGAAGUUCAGGGGAAGAGAAGAUGCUCGAAGAACUCUCCAGGGACUGAGUGGGUGGUACAGAGCUAGUGCUGUAGAUGCCAUGUAUACAGGCAAAUUCCCCAAUGAGUGUUUUCCAAUAUCAAGUUUAACUGGCAUUUAAGAUAUAUGCCAAAGGUAGGUAAAUUAUUUUGGCCUGUGCUUAUAGGUUUAUUUCCCUGGAUGAAGCUUUCUGUCUCUGUCCUAGUGCACUGUAGCAGAUGCAGGGUCUUUCCAUACAAUACAUUAAAAGCUGCAUCUCAUUUUAAAUAUAUUAUAGAAACCCUGAUCAUACAAUACAUACAAGAUUUUUAAGAUCAGCCUUCAGUCGAUUUUUUUGCUUUAUUUUUGUUCUGGAGGUCAAAAUGAGUGGUUAACUGUCUAAGUUGAUUGCAGAGAAAGUUACUACUCAUUCUAAACGUAGGUUUUUAGAAAAGUGUUCUUGGCAGUUGCUACCAUUGGCUUUUUCCAACUUACAUGGGAAUCAAGAUUCAGAACUGGUACACCAAUGGGAAGAGCCUGGAAAAUAGACUAUUGAUCAAGAUGAAUCUGGUCCAGAUACUUUAAGACCUUUUCAGUGUGUUUUUAAGAUUAUAAGUUUGAACUAACAGAAACUUCAAUGCUGUUUUUUCACAAGUCAAUGUGUAGUGUACUGUUAUUCUUUUUUUUCCUGUAAUAUCUUAAUAAUAUUCCUGGCUGUAAGAAAAAGUUAACACUAUACCUAUGUUUUGACUUACUUUAUAGAAGACCCAAACAAUAUUUAACAAAAGGAUUUUUCUCAAAUACUAUUUUGAAAUCACUAUAUUAGACACUAUCUUAAAUUUAUUUCUCAAUUUGCUUCUUUUUGAAACUUCCACAUUUUGGUGUUCUUUUCAGCAUCACUCAUUUUCUUUCAUAAUAAAGAUACCCAAUAACAAUAUCAUAAUAAAGAUUUGAUAACAAAUCUCCAGUUUUGGAGUGUUACAUUUCAUAUCUACAUGCUUACAGAGAAUUUAGUAUGAAUAUUCCCUGGCCUUAGUUCCUCUAAGCCUAGGAUACUUGUAGUCAUUUGGCAAAUAAUUUAAUCCAUGGCAAACAUGAGUCUUAAUACAAAAAUUAUUGAGUAGGCAAAAAAUAAUUGAACAUAUUUUGGACUGAUUACCAGUGCAUUAAAAAAGUAGAGGUUUAAGGAUGAGAAUAAUAAGUUUUUUUGUUUUUACUUAAAUUUAUAUAAAAGGAGUGAAAAUACAGUAGCCUAUAGUACUUAAGAGUGUGGGUAUAUUUUCAGCACUUAAUAAUUACUAGUUGAAUUGCAUAAUAUGGGACUAUAACUGAUAUGGUUUGGCUCUGUGUCCCCGCCCAAAUCUCAUGUUGAAUUAUAAUUUCCAAUAUUGGAGGAGGUACCUAGUGGGAGGUGACUGGAUCAUUGGGGGAAAUUUCCCCCUUGCUGUCCUCAUGAUAGUGAGUGAGUUCUCACAAGAUCUGAUGGUUUAAAAGUGUGUGGCAUUUCCCCCUUUACUCUUUCUCUCUCCUGCUGGCCAUGAGAAUAAGUGCUUGCUUCCCAUUCACCUUCUGCCAUGCUUGUGUUUCCUGAGGCUUCCCAGCCAUGCUUCUUGUUCAAGCUGCAGAACUGUGAGUCAAUUAAACCUCAUUUCUUCAUAAAUUACCCAGUCUCAGCUCUUUAUGGGAGUGUGAGAAUGGACUAAUAAAAUAUCUCUAGAAUUAUGUUUUUGGAGAUAAUUUAAAGAUAAACAAAUAUUGGAAACCUCAUUUGAUCACACAGAGAACAGUAAAUGGAAGUUCUACUUUUUCUCCAGGGCCUUUCUCAUGCUUAUGCAGGGAUUAUUCACCCAGAUAUCCUGAAAUAAGACAUCCAAUUAAGGUACCUGCUAUCUCAUGUAACACAGAAGAAAGUUGAGCAUAGAGGUUAAACAUUACCUAAUAUUGUUGGAAAAGCUUCGAAGCGUUCAUUUUCAAAGCAGCUAAUGUAAACCAUGAUAAUCACUAGUAGCACUAUGCCAUUUUAAAUACUUCAAUAUUUUGUAGUUAUUAGAUUCUAAGUAAGUAUAAAAUGUAGUGAAUACAAAUUUUAUUUGCCUAAACAGUGUUAGACAAUAUAAAUUAACGAGUUAUUUUUUAUUCUGUUUAAUAUUUUCAAGCCAAUAAACACUUUACUAAAGUA